Zootermopsis nevadensis is the source of this 537-nucleotide long non-coding RNA. RefSeq lists it as uncharacterized. The record is from RefSeq and is a predicted model, not a curated record. Lineage: Eukaryota; Metazoa; Arthropoda; Insecta; Blattodea; Termopsidae.
UUGUGUGUGCAAUUCAAUUUUUUAUAUUACACAUUUUCGUUACAAGUUUUCCUUUCACUUUUUUGCCGAAUGAACCUUCCAUAUAGACGUAUUUACGUCAAAACAGCACAGUUUAUUACUGUAUGGUUCUUCAAAGCUUCAUUAUGUAAUGCCAACAUGAAACGGUGAGCUAUUUUACAGGAUUGAGAAGAUAACUAAACUUUAUCAUGACAAUAUGUAUCAUAUAACUGGAAGAAAGAACUUGUAAGCACCUUAUUUUGUUGAGCCACGUAAUUUAAUACAGUAUAUACAAACAGUAACAAAUUAUGUAAAAAUGUUUUCAGAUAUAUGAAUAGUAUUUAAUAAAAUGCAAACAGUGUCCUUAAACAUCAGAAAUGAGUCCUGUGAAAUUAACAGAAUUGAUCUCACUGAUUGGUAAUUUUAAUUCUACCUUAUACACAUUUACAAUACAAUGCAAUAUUUCAUAUGUAUUAAUAUCUAAAUCAUAUAAAAGUGUUGCAUGUUAAUCCACUAGCAAUAAAAACAUUGAAAAAAUAC